Parelaphostrongylus tenuis is the source of this 108-nucleotide non-coding RNA. The record is from the annotation of a GenBank genome assembly. NCBI's taxonomy places the organism in Eukaryota, Metazoa, Nematoda, Chromadorea, Rhabditida, Metastrongylidae.
GUAUUGGUGGUUCAGUGGUGGAAUCCUCGCCUGCCACGCGGGCGACCCCAUUCUCGGCCAGUGUCGCCUGCCACGCGGGCGACCUCGGUUCAAUUCUCAGCCAGUGCA